This 306-nucleotide unclassified non-coding RNA is filed under the name uncultured Umbilicaria. Its description in RNAcentral is "sequence contains ITS1". The stretch from base 1 to 105 matches the Rfam family "5.8S ribosomal RNA", at positions 50 to 154 of the family's 154-position model. The record is from RNAcentral. Lineage: Eukaryota; Fungi; Ascomycota; Lecanoromycetes; Umbilicariales; Umbilicariaceae.
GAAAUGCGAUAAGUAAUGUGAAUUGCAGAAUUCAGUGAAUCAUCGAAUCUUUGAACGCACCUUGCGCCCCCUGGUAUUCCGGGGGGCAUGCCUGUCCGAGUGUCGUGUGGACUCGACCCCCCGGGUUUCCGGGGACGUCGGAGAUGGGCGCUGCCGCUUGCCCCGGCUCGCCUCAAACGCCUCAGUGGGGACCGCGCCCCGUCGGGAGUGAUAAGCUUCUCUCGACGUCGGGCCGCGGCGACCGCUCAGAACGACCCCCUUCUUUACCUUGACCUCGGAUCAGGUAGGACUACCCGCUGAACUUAA